This 467-nucleotide ribosomal RNA is filed under the name uncultured bacterium. RNAcentral describes it as "partial 16S ribosomal RNA". It matches the Rfam family "Bacterial small subunit ribosomal RNA", at positions 28 to 507 of the family's 1533-position model. The record is from RNAcentral.
GACGAACGCUGGCGGCGUGCUUAACACAUGCAAGUCGAACGGAAAGGCCCUGCUUUUGUGGGGUGCUCGAGUGGCGAACGGGUGAGUAACACGUGAGUAACCUGCCCUUGACUUUGGGAUAACUUCAUGAAACUGGGGCUAAUACCGGAUAGUAGCUCCUGCUGCAUGUUGGGGGUUGGAAAGUUUCGGCGGUUGGGGAUGGACUCGCGGCUUAUAAGCUUGUUGGUGGGGUGGUGGCUUACCACGGCUUUGACGGGUAGCCGGCCUGAGAGGGUGAGGGGCACCAUCGGGACUAGAUACGGCCCAGACUCCUACGGGAGGCAGAAGUGGGGAAUAUUGCACAAUGGGCGGAAGCCUGAUGCAGCAACGCCGCGUGCGGGAUGACGGCCUUCGGGUUGUAAACCGCUUUCGCCUGUGACGAAGCGUGAGUGACGGUAAUGGGUAAAGAAGCACCGGCUAACUACGUG